ACAGGUCAGAGUCUCUGUAUUCUUUAGCACUCAGCGUAAGUCAAAACAUAGCGAAAAGAACCGGACUAAAGCUAUUCUACGCGGUGGAUCUUGUUUCAGAUCCACCAUUUCAGCAUCUCAUUCAAAGUUUGCAUGAAACUUCAAUUCAGACCAUUUCAAUAGCCCACCAUAGCAAAUUGUCUGAGUCAAUGAUCACGGAUUAUAGGAAAAAUAUUAUAUUUAAUUUUAAUGACGUCAGUGAGUUAUUCAAUUUUAUUUUUAACACCAUAUUGCAGUCAGAAUCUCUAGACCUGUACAGUGAAAUGGAGGAAGGUCUUGAACGGAGCACAAUGCACGCUAUUAAUCAGACAACUGGAAACUUACCUCGUUUUUGCAUUAAAAUUGAAAAGCUUCACUACCUAUGGCCAAAAGAGGGGUGUAGAAAAGAGAUAAGUAUUUCAUCCACUGAACUAGAACAUGGUUCCUAUCUAACUGACUCAGUUUUUAACGCAACUCGCGGUUUCUUCGCUAACAAAAUUUGGAAUUUUAGAAACCAUCUAAUUUUCCUAUUGAAAAAUGUAGGCGAACGUAUCAGAGGGCCGACGUCAAGAGUACUCCAACAUGAAACUCUCCCGAGUUUUGAGAUGGGCAGGAAUCGGACUCUGUCAAUUUGUUUCAAAUUCUUUUGGCGCUUUUUCAAAGGCCAAAAAACUGUUAUAUGCCACCCAAGUGGCUGUGAAAGGUACGACCCGUUCACAGAGAGCCUUAUUUUCUACCCGGACUGGGAUGAGACGGACAAGGAUUUUUUCGCUUUCUCUUGUACAAACAUGCAUAAAAAGUCAGUGUUCACAUUGGAAGACUACUCACGUCAAAAAGGUUUUAAAACUGCUAACCAAGCAACUUGGAGUAACUGGAAUGUGUUUUAUUUAACCGUAUUUGAACACUUGCAACACUCUGUGAACUUUACCCAAAAGUAUUCCGACAAAUUUCUGUAUCCUAAAAUUGAGGAUGCCUUGAAGUAUGACGUCAGUCUAAUUUCUUUCGAAACUGGAAUAGUUUUAGAGGGAACUGAUCAUUCCAAAUUCGAUUAUUCCGUUAGUAUUGACACCAGUGCUCUGUGCAUCGCCACCCCUCACAGUGGUUACAUGUCGCAGGGUCUGGUAAUUUUCAAGAGUUUUUCGUCAGUUGUUUGGAUUUUCAUUUCUGUAACGAUUGCCUCUCUUGUCAUAAUGCAAUAUGUUUUCCAGUAUUCGCAGUACGAAUUAUUCCAUCGUCUCUAUACAGAUGCAGAGGUAGAUUAUUAUAGGGAAACCUCCACCCUGUUGACUGUCUACGCAUACUUCAUCUGUGGGAGCCCCCCAUCUCUACAUCUCGGUCAUUUGUUUACUGGGAAGGUUCUUUUUUUAAUUCUUAGUUUCUCCACGAUUACUAUAUCCACUGUAUUCUUGAGUGGCAUGACAACGUUACUAAGUGAUAGAGUUUUGGCCCCGGAAAUUGACACAUUAAACAAUUUAGAAGAGUCUGACAUGCUGAUCCAAAUUGCUGAGGACCAAGAAACUGAGGCGAAUCUUUUUGACCAUUUAAACCAGUCUGAGGCACUGCGAGCAAAACUGGCAAGUAACUUGCGUUAUUACGAAUAUGAAGUGGAUUGCGAGAUAUUUUUAAGGAUUGCAGGCUCUGCGAAGGGAGCCGACACUAUUGCUGACGUCUUGCGCCUCGAUAAAUCCCUCAAUGUUGGGAUUGAAGAGAGUAAGAAGAAUGUGCGUUCGAUAACAGAGACGGACUCCGUUUUGGUGAGUGUACCUUUCUCUUCAACACCUAAAACAAAUAUUCGCAUGAGACAUUCCCCUUCCGUAAUGGAUCAAUGGGCUGAGUACCAUUUGAUGAUGGAAUGCCUCAUAACAUAUCCAUUGAUUUUUGCAUUUGUGAAAGAUUCUUUCCUCUUCGAUAAAUUGAACGAGAUAAUGGCUCAAUACUUCGAAACCGGGCAUGCCAGAAGGAUAUUGGAAACAUCUUUACAGGGUGAGCUGCAAUUGGGCGUGCCCUACGCUGAAAAUAGUUCGGAGCCACGUGCGUUUGAUUUGAAUGAUUUACAAUCUGGAUUCAUUGGUCUUAUUGUGGGCUUGUUCAUAAGUUUCCUUGCUUUUUUAGGGGAACUUUUGUUCGAUUACUUUCAAGACUCAGUCGCUGUAAAGUUUUUAAUGAGAUUUAAGCAUUUCCUAUUCAAAAAACGCUUGAUUAUAAUGUAAAGGAGGGAAAUCUUAACUUAAAUCAAAAGACGAGAAGACCCUUUAGAAUUUUACAAACCAAGCCAACUAGAUAAAUUUGAUUUGUUAAAUUGUGGAUUUCUGUAAAUCUCAACUCAAUUCAAUAUUUUUUUGCGAUUAUCGGUACAUGUGAUAAUCCAUGUGUAUCGCAGUUUGAUGUGUUUGUUGUUUUCGUUGAGUUAGAUGUGAUUAUUGCGUCUGAUGUGUUUGUUGUUUGUUUGGUUUUUG
RNAcentral lists this long non-coding RNA (2474 nucleotides) under Bemisia tabaci. RNAcentral's name for it is "lncRNA ENSSWEETPG002016". Lineage: Eukaryota; Metazoa; Arthropoda; Insecta; Hemiptera; Aleyrodidae. The record is from RNAcentral.